Molecule: long non-coding RNA, 884 nt
Organism: Carassius gibelio (silver crucian carp)
Lineage: Eukaryota; Metazoa; Chordata; Actinopteri; Cypriniformes; Cyprinidae
Exons: 5
Source: RefSeq, a predicted model, not a curated record
AGUUUUCUCAAUUUAAAACUCACAAUUGCUGAAAGAGUUCACUGCUUUGCUUGUUGUAAGCAGAGGUCGUACAACAGGACCUGAAAAAGAAUAGCACUCAGCAGUCACACACUAUUAUGCCUUAGUCAUUUAACUGUUUUAUUGUAUUUUUACCUUUUGUCUUGAUGUAUUUUAGAGGUGCUGGAGGUUUUGGUGCAGGCGGGACUUUUGGUGCGGGCUGGAUUUUUGGUAAUUUUCAGAUUCUGAGAUGUCAGAAGUGUAGCAUGCCCUUUUCCAUUUUUUGGAAAUGUUGUCAAAUGAUGCUGAAAUUAUCAAAAAUUCUGGCCUGAUGCUUGGUCCAACCCUUAUCUGGCUGUGGUGCCUCCAUCAACCUGACGCUCUUUAGUAACCGGUCCAAGUCUUUGUAUGGAGGCCACCAUGAGUGGCCAUCUGAGUACCAGGACUUUGCUACAGGACCGGUACUCCCUUCUCCGACAAACUCCACUAUCAGGUAAAUUUUUUUUGGCACCAACCAACCUUUCUGUCAGCACAGUGGCUUGAAAUCCUGACAGCCUGCAAGUUAGAGGACCCAGUCGAAGCCACAAGUGGAGAAGCCGCCUCAUGACACCAAGGCACACAAGGUGCAUGUAAUCAAGGGGGAAUCCAGAGACCAUAUCCAAGGAUGUUUCUUCUAGUGGGAAUGUCAUCCUGUUCUCCAGGUGCACACCAUCCUGAAUGCACUUUUCGCAUCCAUGGUAGCCUGCAUGGCCCUUCACUUUUUUCAGAAAAGCACGUGCAGGUGCGUCGCAAAUCAUUGAGGUAAGCUGUAAAGUUAACUUGAGUCCUUCAAAUUCAAAACCAUGACUUAAGUCUUUUAUUUCACAGAUGAAGUCCUCAAGAUACUC